RNAcentral lists this long non-coding RNA (229 nucleotides) under Mus spicilegus (steppe mouse). RNAcentral's name for it is "lncRNA (ENSMSIG00000010053.1)". The record is from RNAcentral. Lineage: Eukaryota; Metazoa; Chordata; Mammalia; Rodentia; Muridae.
CUGAGCGUAUUUCCUGUGCUGCUGCCUUGAUGGAUCAGAGUUGAGAGAGAUGGUGACAGUCUGGGCUCUGACCUGAUGGUACCAUUAUUGUCCUGAGCCUGGAACCUAUAGUCAACACAUUAAUGACCCGCAGAUGAAGGUACCAUCCAGAUGUACAAUCAUCCAAAGUGGUAUGUCCUAAAAUACUUGGCGAUGCAAAUCCUUUAAUUCAGCCACCACCCUCUGUGCA